RNAcentral lists this ribosomal RNA (1547 nucleotides) under Salmonella enterica. Its description in RNAcentral is "bacterial SSU rRNA". It matches the Rfam family "Bacterial small subunit ribosomal RNA". The record is from RNAcentral. Lineage: Bacteria; Pseudomonadati; Pseudomonadota; Gammaproteobacteria; Enterobacterales; Enterobacteriaceae. RNAcentral also lists the same sequence under 2 other names.
UUAAAUUGAAGAGUUUGAUCAUGGCUCAGAUUGAACGCUGGCGGCAGGCCUAACACAUGCAAGUCGAACGGUAACAGGAAGCAGCUUGCUGCUUUGCUGACGAGUGGCGGACGGGUGAGUAAUGUCUGGGAAACUGCCUGAUGGAGGGGGAUAACUACUGGAAACGGUGGCUAAUACCGCAUAACGUCGCAAGACCAAAGAGGGGGACCUUCGGGCCUCUUGCCAUCAGAUGUGCCCAGAUGGGAUUAGCUUGUUGGUGAGGUAACGGCUCACCAAGGCGACGAUCCCUAGCUGGUCUGAGAGGAUGACCAGCCACACUGGAACUGAGACACGGUCCAGACUCCUACGGGAGGCAGCAGUGGGGAAUAUUGCACAAUGGGCGCAAGCCUGAUGCAGCCAUGCCGCGUGUAUGAAGAAGGCCUUCGGGUUGUAAAGUACUUUCAGCGGGGAGGAAGGUGUUGUGGUUAAUAACCGCAGCAAUUGACGUUACCCGCAGAAGAAGCACCGGCUAACUCCGUGCCAGCAGCCGCGGUAAUACGGAGGGUGCAAGCGUUAAUCGGAAUUACUGGGCGUAAAGCGCACGCAGGCGGUCUGUCAAGUCGGAUGUGAAAUCCCCGGGCUCAACCUGGGAACUGCAUUCGAAACUGGCAGGCUUGAGUCUUGUAGAGGGGGGUAGAAUUCCAGGUGUAGCGGUGAAAUGCGUAGAGAUCUGGAGGAAUACCGGUGGCGAAGGCGGCCCCCUGGACAAAGACUGACGCUCAGGUGCGAAAGCGUGGGGAGCAAACAGGAUUAGAUACCCUGGUAGUCCACGCCGUAAACGAUGUCUACUUGGAGGUUGUGCCCUUGAGGCGUGGCUUCCGGAGCUAACGCGUUAAGUAGACCGCCUGGGGAGUACGGCCGCAAGGUUAAAACUCAAAUGAAUUGACGGGGGCCCGCACAAGCGGUGGAGCAUGUGGUUUAAUUCGAUGCAACGCGAAGAACCUUACCUGGUCUUGACAUCCACGGAAGAAUUCAGAGAUGGAUUUGUGCCUUCGGGAACCGUGAGACAGGUGCUGCAUGGCUGUCGUCAGCUCGUGUUGUGAAAUGUUGGGUUAAGUCCCGCAACGAGCGCAACCCUUAUCCUUUGUUGCCAGCGGUCCGGCCGGGAACUCAAAGGAGACUGCCAGUGAUAAACUGGAGGAAGGUGGGGAUGACGUCAAGUCAUCAUGGCCCUUACGACCAGGGCUACACACGUGCUACAAUGGCGCAUACAAAGAGAAGCGACCUCGCGAGAGCAAGCGGACCUCAUAAAGUGCGUCGUAGUCCGGAUUGGAGUCUGCAACUCGACUCCAUGAAGUCGGAAUCGCUAGUAAUCGUGGAUCAGAAUGCCACGGUGAAUACGUUCCCGGGCCUUGUACACACCGCCCGUCACACCAUGGGAGUGGGUUGCAAAAGAAGUAGGUAGCUUAACCUUCGGGAGGGCGCUUACCACUUUGUGAUUCAUGACUGGGGUGAAGUCGUAACAAGGUAACCGUAGGGGAACCUGCGGUUGGAUCACCUCCUUACCU